This 253-nucleotide ribosomal RNA is filed under the name uncultured bacterium. Its description in RNAcentral is "partial 16S ribosomal RNA". It matches the Rfam family "Bacterial small subunit ribosomal RNA", at positions 524 to 776 of the family's 1533-position model. The record is from RNAcentral.
UACGUAGGGGGCAAGCGUUGUCCGGAUUUAUUGGGCGUAAAGAGCGUGUAGGCGGCUAUACAGGUCCGUUGUGAAAACUGGAGGCUUAACCUCCAGACGUCGAUGGAAACCGUAUGGCUAGAGUCCGGAAGAGGAGAGUGGAAUUCCUGGUGUAGCGGUGAAAUGCGCAGAUAUCAGGAAGAACACCCGUGGCGAAGGCGGCUCUCUGGGCCUUACCUGACGCUCAGGUGCGAAAGCUAGGGGAGCGAACAGG